GCGUGUUCCAGAUGGUGUCCUUGCCAGAUGGGAAGAACACCCUGACCCACAUCAGAUGUCACGUGAGCAAGAAAUGAGCCUUUAUUGUGAUGAGGAAACUGAGGCUCAGAGCACGGAAGCCACUUGAAUCUGGUUACAUCCAGGACUCAUAACCACCUGGCACACACAGGAGCCAUGCCCAGAACAAGCGGGGACAGUCCUGCUGCCCCCUGCACACACCAGCCUCCCUGGGGGCCAAGGGUUCAGCAUUGGAAGAAGUACACUGAGAAGAACAUGAAAAAGCUGAAAUUUGUCUGAAGGAGAGUGACAGGGCUGAAGGGGGACUUGAAACCACACACAUAAGGAAAGGCUGGAAGAACUAGAUGUUAGCCUGGAGAAGAGGACAUGUUCAGGGAACUUGAAGACUGACCUCAUGUAUUUGAAGAGCAACUGUGUGAGGAGUGGAACUUGUGCCAGUGGAUGGAAUUACUAGCCACUUGAGUCCUCAUGUGAUAACCGGGUAAAUACUUUCUGGACACCUACUGUUUGCAGGUGUUAAACUAGGCCUUGGUGGUACAAGGUUAAAAAUA
Molecule: long non-coding RNA, 569 nt
Organism: Manis pentadactyla (Chinese pangolin)
Lineage: Eukaryota; Metazoa; Chordata; Mammalia; Pholidota; Manidae
Exons: 3
Source: RefSeq, a predicted model, not a curated record